This is a non-coding RNA of Xiphophorus maculatus (southern platyfish), 1144 nucleotides long. NCBI's taxonomy places the organism in Eukaryota, Metazoa, Chordata, Actinopteri, Cyprinodontiformes, Poeciliidae. The record is from the annotation of a RefSeq genome assembly.
AGUUAUCAGCUGCUUUCUGCAGAGCUGGCAUCGUUAUUGGUUUCUCUUACAGUCCAAAUCAAUAACUAAUAAUUGACUUUUCUAAUUUUAACUUUGAGGAGCAAAUGUAUGAGCGGGUGUUUGUCUCUGUGAUGGAUCGCCUCCCAUUUAUGAUCAAACAGAAAAUGCAAACACACAUCCUCCCCAUUUGCAGCAGAAAUCACCUCACUGGCUGAACCUCACCUUCAGCAGCAACCAGUUUCUCUCUGGCUCCUCCCACCACUGCUGAGCUCAGCCAAUGAGAAGGCUCGUCUCUAACAGCAGCUUGAUGAUGAUGAUGAAGGUCUGUUAGUCUUCCUUCUGCUGCAGUGGAUCAUCUCUGUAGAUCUGCUGUCUGUCCUGAACUCCUGGAACAUGUUGCUGUACCUCCUGCUCUUCUCUCUCUACAUCGCCAUGGGCUCCAUGAACACCGUCACACAGGAGCAGAGGGAACACGUCGCUUCAGAGGGAAGCCCCACCAGUUUGAGCUGCGGAUAUACUGGUUCUAUCUAUAAUGUCCAGUGGUACCGACAGCAGCACGGAUCCAGACCAGAGUUCCUGCUCUACAUCACAGAGUCGGGAUCGAUCCAUCCAACUCGCUCCGAUUUCUCAGCUCACAUCGAUAAAACUCAGAAACGAGGAACUCUGCUGAUCUCCUCUGCUGCAGUGACAGACUCUGCUGUGUACUACUGCGCUGUGGCGCCCACAGUGACAGGAAACACCAGAACCCUGUACAAAAACCUGCAGUACUCCACAGCAGCCACUAGAGGGCCUCACUCCCUGUUAAACCACAGACAGCCAACAUUUAAACCAUGAGGCUGUUUGUGAACAAGCAGCAGAUCACUUUUUAAAUGAUGACGAAGGCCAUAUGCUGAGCUGAGGAUGCUGCCUGGACCCCAUGAAGAGAUGCAGAGACUGUAGAUCUUUGGGAAACUCUGGACUGGCUUUGUUUCCUCCAGAUUGUGCUCCGGUCUGUAAAAUGGGCUUGUGUUUAAUAAAAAUGUUCUUUUUAUUCAUCUUAGCCUUCCUGUAGGUUUUUCACUUCCACAUCUCACAGAGGGAUGUUACAGACAAAUCCAUAUCCACUCUUUGUAAGAAUCUAGUUGACCUAAAAUUAAACAAAUUA